CGGGACCCGCACAAGCGGUGGAUGAUGUGGUUUAAUUCGAUGCAACGCGAAAACCUUAACCCACCUUUGACAUGUACGGAAUCCUUUAGAGAUAGAGGAGUGCUCGAAAGAGAACCGUAACACAGGUGCUGCAUGGCUGUCGUCAGCUCGUGUCGUGAGAUGUUGGGUUAAGUCCCGCAACGAGCGCAACCCUUGUCAUUAGUUGCUACAUUCAGUUGGGCACUCUAAUGAGACUGCCGGUGACAAACCGGAGGAAGGUGGGGAUGACGUCAAGUCCUCAUGGCCCUUAUGGGUAGGGCUUCACACGUCAUACAAUGGUCGGUACAGAGGGUUGCCAAGCCGCGAGGUGGAGCCAAUCCCAGAAAGCCGAUCGUAGUCCGGAUUGUUCUCUGCAACUCGAGAGCAUGAAGUCGGAAUCGCUAGUAAUCGCGGAUCAGCAUGUCGCGGUGAAUACGUUCCCGGGUCUU
This 467-nucleotide ribosomal RNA is filed under the name uncultured Acidovorax sp. RNAcentral's name for it is "bacterial SSU rRNA". It matches the Rfam family "Bacterial small subunit ribosomal RNA", at positions 916 to 1381 of the family's 1533-position model. The record is from RNAcentral. Lineage: Bacteria; Pseudomonadati; Pseudomonadota; Betaproteobacteria; Burkholderiales; Comamonadaceae.